Molecule: ribosomal RNA, 655 nt
Filed under: uncultured bacterium
Lineage: Bacteria
Description: bacterial SSU rRNA
Rfam family: Bacterial small subunit ribosomal RNA
Source: RNAcentral
GAGCGCCCCGCAAGGGGAGCGGCAGACGGGAGAGUAACACGUGGGAACGUACCCUUCAGUUCGGAACAACCCAGGGAAACUUGGGCUGAUACCGGAUACGUCCGUAAGGAGAAAGAUUUAUCGCUGAAGGAUCGGCCCGCGUCUGAUUAGCUAGUUGGUGGGGUAAUGGCCCACCAAGGCGACGAUCAGUAGCUGGUCUGAGAGGAUGAUCAGCCUCACUGGGACUGAGACACGGCCCAGACUCCUACGGGAGGCAGCAGUGGGGAAUAUUGGACAAUGGGCGCAAGCCUGAUCCAGCCAUGCCGCGUGGGUGAUGAAGGCCCUAGGGUUGUAAAGCCCUUUCGGCGGGGAAGAUAAUGACGGUACCCGCAGAAGAAGCCCCGGCUAACUUCGUGCCAGCAGCCGCGGUAAUACGAAGGGGGCUAGCGUUGCUCGGAAUCACUGGGCGUAAAGCGCACGUAGGCGGCUUUUUAAGUCAGAGGUGAAAUCCUGGAGCUCAACUCCAGAACUGCCUUUGAUACUGAGAAGCUUGAGUCCGGGAGAGGUGAGUGGAACUGCGAGUGUAGAGGUGAAAUUCGUAGAUAUUCGCAAGAACACCAGUGGCGAAGGCGGCUCACUGGCCCGGUACUGACGCUGAGGUGCGAAAGCGUGGGGA